GGCGCAGCUCGCGGACGCAGACGCCGCCCGCGCCGGUCUCGCGGCCGAGCGCGACGCCGAGAUCGCCCGGCUCGAGGCCGAUCGCGCCUC
Molecule: transfer RNA, 90 nt
Filed under: Curtobacterium luteum
Lineage: Bacteria; Bacillati; Actinomycetota; Actinomycetes; Micrococcales; Microbacteriaceae
Description: tRNA-Thr
Source: RNAcentral